RNAcentral lists this ribosomal RNA (545 nucleotides) under uncultured bacterium. Its description in RNAcentral is "bacterial SSU rRNA". It matches the Rfam family "Bacterial small subunit ribosomal RNA", at positions 303 to 839 of the family's 1533-position model. The record is from RNAcentral.
AUCAGCCACACUGGGACUGAGACACGGCCCAGACUCCUACGGGAGGCAGCAGUGGGGAAUUUUGGACAAUGGGCGAAAGCCUGAUCCAGCCAUGCCGCGUGAGUGAAGAAGGCCUUCGGGUUGUAAAGCUCUUUCAGGUGGAAAGAAAUCACCGCCCCGAAUACGGGUGGUGGAUGACGGUACCAUCAGAAGAAGCACCGGCUAACUACGUGCCAGCAGCCGCGGUAAUACGUAGGGUGCGAGCGUUAAUCGGAAUUACUGGGCGUAAAGCGUGCGCAGGCGGUUGCGUAAGACAGGUGUGAAAUCCCCGGGCUUAACCUGGGAACUGCGCUUGUGACUGCACAGCUAGAGUACGGCAGAGGGGGGUGGAAUUCCACGUGUAGCAGUGAAAUGCGUAGAGAUGUGGAGGAACACCGAUGGCGAAGGCAGCCCCCUGGGCCUGUACUGACGCUCAUGCACGAAAGCGUGGGGAGCAAACAGGAUUANAUACCCUGGUAGUCCACGCCCUAAACGAUGUCGACUAAUUGUUCGGAGAGGAAACUUUC